Molecule: ribosomal RNA, 446 nt
Filed under: uncultured Flavobacteriaceae bacterium
Lineage: Bacteria; Pseudomonadati; Bacteroidota; Flavobacteriia; Flavobacteriales; Flavobacteriaceae
Description: bacterial LSU rRNA
Rfam family: Bacterial large subunit ribosomal RNA
Source: RNAcentral
AAUAAGCUAAAUAAGAGCGUAUGGGGAAUGCCUAGGCUCUCAGAGGCGAUGAAGGACGUGAUAAGCUGCGAAAAGCUGCGGGGAUUGGCACAUACAAAUUGAUCCGUAGAUAUCCGAAUGGGGCAACCCACUAUAUUGAAGAUAUAGUAUGUCGUAAGACAAGCAAACCCAGAGAACUGAAACAUCUAAGUACCUGGAGGAGAAGAAAACAAAAGUGAUUCCGUUAGUAGUGGCGAGCGAACGCGGAUUAGCCCAAACCAGUAUUGUUACGGCAAUAUUGGGGUUGUAGGACCAAGACAUUUAAUGUUUAAUGAAUUAGAAUACUUUGGAAAAAGUAACCAUAGAGGGUGGUAGUCCCGUAUAGGUAAGUUGAAUUAUUAAUAUUGGUAUCCUGAGUAGCGCGGGGCACGUGUAGCCCUGUGUGAAUCUGUCGGGACCAUCCGAUA